UACGUAGGGUCCGAGCGUUGUCCGGAAUUACUGGGCGUAAAGGGCUCGUAGGCGGCCAACUAAGUCAGACGUGAAAUCCCUCAGCUUAACUGGGGAACUGCGUCUGAUACUGGAUGGCUUGGAUUCGGGAGAGGAAUGCGGAAUUCCAGGUGUAGCGGUGAAAUGCGUAGAUAUCGGGAGGAACGCCGGUGGCGAAAGCGAUUCUCUGGUCCUUUCCUGACACUGAGGCGCGAAAGCUAGGGGAGCAAACAGG
This 253-nucleotide ribosomal RNA is filed under the name uncultured bacterium. RNAcentral describes it as "partial 16S ribosomal RNA". It matches the Rfam family "Bacterial small subunit ribosomal RNA", at positions 524 to 776 of the family's 1533-position model. The record is from RNAcentral.